UACGGGGGGAGCAAGCGUUGUUCGGAUUUACUGGGCGUAAAGGGCGCGUAGGCGGUCAGCACAAGUCAGUUGUGAAAUCUCCGGGCUUAACUCGGAAAGGUCAACUGAUACUGUGCGACUAGAGUGCAGAAGGGGCAACUGGAAUUCUCGGUGUAGCGGUGAAAUGCGUAGAUAUCGAGAGGAACACCUAUGGCGAAGGCAGCUCGCUGGGACGUUACUGACGCUGAGACGCGAAAGCGUGGGGAGCGAACAGG
This 254-nucleotide ribosomal RNA is filed under the name uncultured bacterium. RNAcentral's name for it is "partial 16S ribosomal RNA". It matches the Rfam family "Bacterial small subunit ribosomal RNA", at positions 524 to 776 of the family's 1533-position model. The record is from RNAcentral.